GGGUGCGUGGCUCAGUGGUAGAGCAUCGUCCUGAUAAGACGGGGGUCGAAGGUUCGAUUCCUUCCGCACCCACAA
This 75-nucleotide transfer RNA is filed under the name Candidatus Curtissbacteria bacterium RIFCSPHIGHO2_01_FULL_41_13. RNAcentral's name for it is "tRNA-Ile". It matches the Rfam family "tRNA". From Rfam's summary of the family: Transfer RNA (tRNA) molecules are approximately 80 nucleotides in length. Lineage: Bacteria; Candidatus Curtissiibacteriota. The record is from RNAcentral.